This 1345-nucleotide long non-coding RNA is filed under the name Homo sapiens (human). Its description in RNAcentral is "HSALNT0057369". The record is from RNAcentral. Lineage: Eukaryota; Metazoa; Chordata; Mammalia; Primates; Hominidae.
UGGGGAUAUAAAACCAGACAUUCGAGCCAGCAACAGCUACCCUCUUUGGGUCCCCUCCCUUUGUAUGGGAGCUCUGUUUUCACUCUAUUAAAUCUUGCAACUGCACUCUCUUCUGGUCUGUGCUUGUUAUGGUUUGAGCUGAGCUUUCGAUUGCUGUCUACCACUGCUGUUUGCCACCAUUGCAGACCCGCUGCUGACUUACAUCCCUCCGGAUCUGGCAGGGUGUCCGCUGUGCUCCUGAUCCAGUGAGGUGCCCAUUGCCACUCCCUGUCGGGCUAAAGGCUUGCCAUUGUUCCUGCAUGGCUAAGUGCCCGGGUUUGUCCUAAUCGAGCUGAACACUAGUCACUGGGUUCCUCGGUUCUCUUCUGUGACCCACAGCUUCUAAUAGAGGUAUAACACUCACUGCAUGGCCAAGAUUCCAUUCCUUGGAAUCCAUGAGGCCAAGAACCCCAGGUCAGAGAACACUAGGCUUGCCGCCAUCUUGGAAGCAGCCCGCCACCAUCUUGGGACCUCUGGGAGCAAGGACGCCCCCCCUCCCCCGCUGCUGGUAACAUUUUGGCAACCACGAAGCAACCUCCAAAGCAGUGUGUGCUCCAUGUGGACACUGACUGCUAAGAAGACAGAAAAGACAGAAAAGAAAACCAAACAACAACAACAACAAAUAGGACACAGCAUUGAAUAUUUUAGUCAAAUUCUUCUGGGACUGAAGUAUCCAGAUAAGCACUUUUAUGUUUCUCUUCCUUUUUAGGAAUAGAUGUUGAUUUAAGUACACUAGACAUUCAAUUGGAUAAAUGGAAAGGAGAAACUAUCAGUCCCAUUAUUGACUCUAAUGAAUGUUAGAUUAAUUAAUGUUGAAGAAAAUAAAUACAAAACGUGUUAGAAGUUUUAGAAUGCAUUUUGAAAAUCUUCCUGGAAAUCAUUAAAUAAAAAUAGUAGGGGUCUUUGGUAAAGGAAAAUGUUUUCGUAUACACAGACACAUGCAUUUUCUAGCUAUCUGCUUAGCUCAUGUAAGAGAAUAAAUUAGAAUUAAUAGUAAAUUAAGUUAUAAUAUAAGAAGUUCUUACCUUCUUAAAGGUUCUUGUCAUUCAAAUAAAGACACUUACACAAUGUUAUUAGUAAUUUCUUUCUUCUUCAUCCAGUGAAGGAAUUGGAGUAAAUUGUCUAAUAUGUGGAACCUUUGAAAAUACCUGCAACUAACAUAUUUUAUCAAAUUAAAUGUUUCAUUUAAAUCUUAUUUAUAUGAAUAUUGCAACUUAUCAGUAAAGAAACUGAAGAUAAGUUACAUAAUUAUCAAGUGCCAAAAAACAGGAUUUAUGUCUGCUUAUUCUAAAAGCUAGGAACUGUU